This 237-nucleotide long non-coding RNA is filed under the name Elaeis guineensis (African oil palm). RNAcentral's name for it is "long non-coding RNA (EGUI_LNC047896)". The record is from RNAcentral. Lineage: Eukaryota; Viridiplantae; Streptophyta; Magnoliopsida; Arecales; Arecaceae.
AGCCUUCCAUUAGCCUGUAUAGCUUGUGUCUUAGUUUAGAUUUUAUUUUAUGAACUUAGUAUUUAGAUUUCUAUUAGCUUUUACCUUAGUUUUAUAUCCUGUUAAUUUGAGUGGUUGUUAGUUUGACCUUCCUUCAUCUCCAUUCUGUAAGUUUAACUAUUAGUCCCUUUACCUUAUUUUCUGUAUCUGUCUACUAUCUAUUUAGAUAUUAUCUUAGGUUUGACUUCAUAUACUCCU